CAGCUCAGAUGCACAGGAGCUGCAGCUGUGCAGUAACUGCAUGGUUUGGUCUGUGUUUUUCAGGCUCCAGCCGGCGAGUCUGGGCCUGGGAGCUCCAGGCGGGAUGCCUCUUACUCACCGAGCAGCCAGCAGGCUUCCAUAAACUUCAUCCCACCGCAGGAUGACAGCAAAUCACAGACCAAGCCGGGCGUCAUUCAGCCUCUCUCCCGGGUGCGACAAAAUGCUGCCCAACCUAGUUCGGAGGGCAGGGACAGCCCCAACCCCUUCCAGCAACCUGAGUCAUGCUCCAGUGUCCAGAACUCUCUGCGUCCCGCCUCUCCAGAGGGUGUCCCAGCUAAUGUCAAGCAGGCAUACAAGACCUUUGCAGCGGUGCCCCUGUCACAGGCAAAUAAGGAGACGCAUGGUCAGACAAGCACCGAGAAACCUAAAGCUUCUCCUGAGGUGAGUUUCAGUGGCUGGAAAUGAAGUUGGAGUUGGGAGUCCUAAUCACAGACCUUGGGGAUAA
RNAcentral lists this long non-coding RNA (505 nucleotides) under Chelydra serpentina (North American snapping turtle). RNAcentral describes it as "lncRNA (ENSCSRG00000009234.1)". Lineage: Eukaryota; Metazoa; Chordata; Testudines; Chelydridae. The record is from RNAcentral.